GCCAGACAGCCAUGGGAGAGAGCUUUUAAGCUGGUUUUGCACAAUUUCACUGCAUGUGAGUUUAUUUCUUGCCCUUUUCUUAUAUUUUUUGUAUUUUUAAGACUUUUGCAAUUAGGUCCAAUCAUCUAAUUCAUUAGUUUUUGAUUUGGUGGGUGAAAUUGGAAGUUACCCUGGCUGAGUAAGGGCAGUAUAUGAUGAAUUAUUAUGAAAUUGAAGUUCUAAUUUCAUAUUAAGGUUGUUUUAUUAAGUCAUUUUGAUAGAAAAUGGUAUUUAGGACCUAAUUGUGAAAAAGUUGUGAAUUAGAUGUUAGUGUUGAAAUUCAGAAUAUCAAAGGUUGUGAAAUAAUUUAUAAUGAUAAAAUAAAAUGUUAAUUGAGAAAAAAAUUAGUUCAAUUGAUGGGUGAAAUGAGCAGGGACUAAAUUGUAAAAACUAUAAAUUUUGGGGUAAAAGUGCAAUUUCAAAAUUUGAACAGCAUAAAUUGUGAAGUGAAAUAGAAUUCAAAUAAAUGCUAAUGAGUAGAAAUGCUUUAUAUUAUAGAUCAAGAAUCCAAAGAAGAACGAGAAAAAGAAAAAGUUGCGGAAUAGUCCCUAAAUUUCAAUAUCUUCUACAAAUCAGCCAGGUAAGUUCAUAUGUAAAUGUUGGUAACAUAGUUAUUAUUUUAAAUAUUUUUAUGUUAUUUAAAUGAUAUGAUAAUUAUUAUGAAAUAUUAUACUCGUGAUAAUUGUUUGAUAAUAUGUCAAAUUAUGUGAUAUACUUGGAAAAUGUGAAAUACUACCGAGUAUCGGUAUCAGCAUUCCGUAGGAGAAGGUUGGGACACAUGAUUGGGAAAAAGGUCCCGUUGAACCUUAGGAAUGAAUUAGGAUACAAGUGACAUGUCACUAGGAUGGUUGAACAUCCGAACUCGUUGAGUUGAGUCCGAGUUCACUUAUGGAUGCGAAUGUCCGAACUCGUUGAGUUGAGUCCGAGUUCGAGAGAUGUAACUAGGCAUCCGAGCUCGUUGAGUUGAGUCCGAGUUCACUUAUGGAUGCGAACGCCCGAGCUCGUUGAGUUGAGUCCGAGUUCGCUUAUGGGCGGGUUACAUGGUAGCUUGGCUACAUAUGUGGCACUUAUGUGCAAACUUUCCAUGUAUCUGAAUUAUAUUCCGAUGUGUUCAACGGGUAAAAUUCUACUCAAAUGGAGGAAUACUAGAGAUGAAAGGGACGUAUUGGUAAGUGUCAUAAAAUGAAUACUUUGAACAGGUUUGUACUUAACCCUCGGGUUGAAAACUCGACAUAACAACAAUAUGGUAAGAUUGUAAAUGAAAAUGUGAUAUGAAUGUCUCGGUGAUGAUUAUGAAAAUGAUGUUUUAUGUUUGCUUAUAUAGUUGUAUUACUUGCUAUUUGCAUGUGAACUUACUAAGCAUUUAUGCUUACUCCCUCCUUUUCAUUCCUUGUAGUUUUGACAAGCCAGCUCGGAAAUCAGGAACGGUCGGAGGCUCGCUCACACUAUCCGUGUAUCAUCUUGGUAUAACGGUUUGUAUAUUUUGAGCAUGGCAUGUAUAGCAUUAUAAUCAUUUUGUGUAUAUAGUCUUAUGAUAUGGUUAUUGAGUGGUAUGAAAAUGCUUGAUAAUGAUUAGCUGUUGGAAUGGCUAAUCAAGGACAUAUUUGGUGUUAUGUAUGCCUAAAUGCUAGUUAUUCCAUGGAAAUCAUGAAAUAGGUAAAAUUUACCAUAAAAUAGAUUAAGACAGUAGCAGUGACGUGAGUUUGAAAAAUCAUUAAAAAUAGUAGAGAUAUAAUUAGAUGAUGAAUAAAAUAUGGAAUUGAAGAAUUAUGAGUCUAUUUUCAUAUGAAUGGAACAAAACAGGUAUAUGAGUUAUAUUUUAUGAGAUGUUUAAAUUUUUGUGAAACAGGGCCAGAGCGAUUUCUGGAUCCCCUGUUCUGACUUUGUAAAUUCACCAUAAAUUGUAAAAAGAUAAUUAGAAGUCAUUAUUUAUAUGUAAAAAUUCAUUAUUGAGUCUAGUUUUAUUAGAAACAAACGGCAUAGUCAUUGAAACUCUGUAAAGGGAGAUAUCUGAUUCAUAAUCCACAGAGGUCAGAGCAGUCAAACCCUGAAACAAGGGAUACUUUAACUAAUAAACUGUACUGAUUGGCCCGAGAAAAAAUUCUAGAAAAAAAUUAGUAAAUAGAUAUAUGAGUCUAGUUUAAGGAAAAAUUUACGGAAUUAGAUUUCGAAUUUUAGAACUCGAGAUAUGAAUUUUUAAGCAACUGUGAUGCAGUUGGACAGCUUGUCUGAAUUUGUUUAAGUGCUCAAAUAAGUUUAGUAAUGCCUCGUGCUCGACUCCGGCGACGGUCUCGGGUAAGGGGGCGUUACAGAGAAUUUAUGUAAAAUUUAGGGGAAAAAUGAUAAUUUUGCCUAGGAUAUAAAUUGAGUCCAAAUGAGUAUGAAAUCUGAUAAAUUGAUGUAAAAUCUACUCGUAUAGAUCUGGAUAGACCAAAUUCGGAACUAGAAUGAGGAAAGAGGAAAAUGUCGGAUUAGUAGAUUUUACUUAGACGAACAUUGUCGAGGUAAGUUCAUGUAACUAAAUUGUGUUUAUUUACAUGCUUGCAUUGAUUGUGUAAAAUGAUUACAUAUUCGAUCAAGCCCGAUAAAUUAAAAGGUUUAAAUUAAAUGAUAAUGUCUGAUAGCUGAUAAAGGAUAAACGAUGAGAAUGUUAUUUACAUGCUUGAAAUGAAUGUGGAAUGUGUUUAUUUGAAUUAUAUGAAUGUUGUGGAUGUAUGAAAUAAUCACAUGCCCGGUAAUGCUUGAGAAAAAUGUUAAAAUCCCGGUUGAAUAAAAUGGAAAUUCGAUGGAUAUGUGAUUUCCUGAAAUGAAUGAGGUCUUGCAUUUGUUGCUGACAGGAUUUAGCUCGGAUGAGUAAUCCUAUUGACCUUAUUACAUAAAGGAUUUAGCCCAAAUGGGUAAUCCUGAUAUAAGUCCUCUCGAGCAUAUGUUAUGGAUUGGAUUUAGCCCGAACGAGUAAUCUAGAUCAAGCUCCUUAGAGCAUAUGUCAUAAAAAGGAUUUAGCCUGGACUAGUAAUCCUAUUGUAUACAUGUGUGGAUCGAGUAUACUCCCUGAAAUAAUACCUUAUGAGUACCAUUGAAUAUGAAUUGACAAAUCCUGACUCGUACACCACGUGUGUACUUGUGUAUCCAUCGAUAUUUCAGAUAAAUUCAACGGGUAAAAGUUAUUGACAUGAGAAGAUAUGAAUAAGAAAUGAGUUAUUACACAUAUCAACCUGAAAUACGUGAUAAUUGAUAUAUGGAAAUAUGAAAUGAUGAUAUUGUAUAUGGAAUUUAUUUGAUGAGUAUGUACACCGUUGAUUAGACUUAUACACCUUGAGUGUACUAAUCAUGACAUUGACAUUCCAAGUAAUAUGAGUAAAGUUCUAAUAUGAAAUGAUCUGAACAUUGAAAUGAACUAGUAUCAAAUUAUACUUGUAAUAAUGAGAUGAAAUGAUCUGAACAUUGAAAUGAACUAGUAUCAAAUUAUACUUGUAAUAAUGAGAUGAAUUAUGCAUGUUGAAUGAAUACAUGUUAUAGAAAGUAUAUGUGCUUGGAAUCUUGAUUGUUGUUGAGCCCAUAUAUGUUUUGAUGUUAUUAUGGAUUAUAUGACUAACAAGGGCAAUGAGGAUGUGUGUGUAGGACUUGAGGUCAAAUUGAUUGAAUAUGCUUUACAUAGUUACCUCAUAAUAGAAUGAAUGGCAAGUUAAGUACUAUGUUAUACGUACUUAUUAAGUAUUUUAUGCUUACUUAAUUUUAUUUUCCUGUUUUGUUGUAAAUCGGAAACUCGUUAGAUUAAAAGCUUGGCGGGGAUCACUCACACUAUCCAUUGGCCCAUGUCGGUACAAUAUGGUAAAUCAAUUAUGAUUGUAAUGGCAUAUAUAGGAUAUAUUGGUCAUAUUGGCAUGUAAAUGUAAAUGAUGCUUGUAAUCUAGCCAUUGGAAUGGCUAGUAAUGGUUUGUUUUAAAAUACUUGUAAUGUCAAACUAUGGUAGCUACAUAUAUGUUAAGUAGUUGAUCAAACUAUGUCUAACUUGAGGACUUAACUAAGGUUAAAUUAUAGACAUGUAUGCAUGAAUUGAUAUGCCAUGAUGAAUGAUGGAAUUACUUAAUUUGAAUGCUUGAAAUGGUUGGUAUUAGG
This 4158-nucleotide long non-coding RNA is filed under the name Gossypium barbadense (sea-island cotton). RNAcentral's name for it is "long non-coding RNA (GBAR_LNC003861)". Lineage: Eukaryota; Viridiplantae; Streptophyta; Magnoliopsida; Malvales; Malvaceae. The record is from RNAcentral.